CAAUCUGUUACAACCAGUAGAUCAGCAGCUGCAGCAGGUCUUCUUUAAUUGUUGGUCAACUCAAGUCAUGUGACAUGAGUUGACGGAGAAAUGAAAUAAAGAGAAAAGACAACAGAGUUAAAAAAA
This is a non-coding RNA of Poecilia reticulata (guppy), 126 nucleotides long. Lineage: Eukaryota; Metazoa; Chordata; Actinopteri; Cyprinodontiformes; Poeciliidae. The record is from RefSeq and is a predicted model, not a curated record.